AAUAGGUCACUUAUAUAGUUUAAGUGUGGAUUUGACUUUUCGACUAUAGUUUGAGGUGGAAACAAUGUCUUUUCCCAACAGAUAACUCCCCAUUUUUGGCAAUUGGUUGGUGCAACGUCAAGCAACCUGAAAUACAUAAGGGAGGAUAAGAUAGCCUACAAGAAAAUUAAUUUUGUAACUUAAGACAUCAAGUUUAAUUUAGAAAUCAUUCAUAGCAGGGCAUACACAGGAAAGAAAGAAAUUUAAAAGAAAAUAAUACUCAGCUGCAUAUGAGGAUACCUAUGCUGCAUAUUCCAUGUCACAAAGUUUCAGUGAAUCUGUUGUUGCUAUAUAUAUCAAUUGAUGGCAAAUGAUAUUCAUUGACUUAGGAACUUAAGAGUUACUCUAAAACGUUGGGAGAGGGAAACCUUUUUGGCUGUACAAAUAAAUUUAAUACAAAUUAAUAUGGAUAAUUAUAGACUUAGAUUAAUUUAAUUAAUGAAUGAAAAAGAGAAAAAGAGAAAAAUUGAAAAAAAUAAUGAAAAAAUCAAAAAAUGGAAAAAGCAUACCACAUCAGGAUGUUUAUAACUCUUCUUUUUAUAUAUAUAUAUAUAUAUAUAUAUAUAUAUACUUUUGAUUCUUAUAAUUUUAAACAAAUACGUGUAUUAUGACAAAAACAUAUAUACCCUUUAAAUCUUGUAAUACUAAACACGCAUGUUAUAUCAUUUCUACAAGUACACGUCAUUAAAGCUAUAAGAAAAGUUAGAACAAGAAACUUACAAAGGGUUAGGUGAUGAGUGGUAAAUUUACCGCUCAUUUACCUCCAAAUGCAACUUACAAAGGGUUAGGUGAUGUGUGGUAAAUUUACCGCUCAUUUACCUCCAAAUGCGUACACACUACUAUGAUUUAAUGGUAUGAAUGAGACAACUUUGGCAUUUGAAUGCACUAAUUCUCAUAUUUUGCAGGUAUACAGGUGAUGAAAAGAAAAGAAGUGAAAUAGGCUAAAAAGAGAUAAAAAAAGGGAAGAGAAGUGCAAAAGCUGGAAAAGCAGGAGCAGGAUCUGACCUCAGUUACUGUGAUCGCGGUCUGAGGGCCAUGAUCAUAGACAUUCAAGAUUAGUCAGAGCCAACGAUUGUGAAGGAUUCACCACAAUCGCGGGAGUCGCGAUCGUGAUCAAGAUGGGGCAAUCGCGGCAGCGGGGGUUUAUGCCAAAGGGCAGAUUUGUAAUUUCAUAAAAUUGACCCCAAAUCCCAUAUAGAGCAAAAAUCCUUUCAUUUUUGGGCAUCUUCCCAACUAAAAUUGAGCUUGGAGAAAUUUGAAACCCUGUCUAAUUGGGAAACUUAUUGUGGCAAAUUUCUCACGCGAUUUUGAUUGUAAUUGAAGUUGGCUAUUGAAGAAUACUCUUGUUUGCUUCUUCAAUGGAAGCAUUGAAUGAUCAUUUUGGCAUAAUUCUUUUCCCUAACUUCAUGAGUAGCUAAACAUUUAUCUUGGGAUUAUAUUGAAAUCGGGUGCAAAUAUGUGUGGGUUGUGAUUUAUUAGUGUAGUUUCUUAGUUAUUGAUGAUGGGUUUCACUAAUGCUUGCUUUGAGUUGGGAUUUGUGAGUGAAAACUUCAAAUUCCCAAUACAUCAUCCUUGAAAGAGGGACAUGAGUAUACUUUUGGAUCUUAUAUCAUCCUUGAAAGAGGGAUAUGGGUGACAAAGCAUUAGUGAACAAUAGUUAGAUAUAGCUUAUUUCAUUUUCAUUAUCUUACAAAUAAAGGUGGAUUGAGAAUUAACUAGGUCUUGGGCAUCUUUCUAGAAAUAGGGAUGCCCAAUUGAGGUGUUGGGUGUAUUUUCUUGCCACAUCCAUGAGGUAUCCGAAAAGGUCCUUGGGUGUUAAUCUUGAGGUUUUGUUGACAAAUUAGCAUCAAGAGCCCCUAACCUAGCCUACUCAUGUAGUUGUUAACUAGAAUUUGCAUUCCAUUCUCAUGAAACAAUGCAUUAUUUGCCCCUAGGAAGACAUAAUCCCAAG
RNAcentral lists this long non-coding RNA (1990 nucleotides) under Capsicum annuum. RNAcentral describes it as "long non-coding RNA (CANN_LNC006609)". The record is from RNAcentral. Lineage: Eukaryota; Viridiplantae; Streptophyta; Magnoliopsida; Solanales; Solanaceae.